RNAcentral lists this unclassified non-coding RNA (137 nucleotides) under uncultured Ascomycota. RNAcentral's name for it is "sequence contains ITS1". Lineage: Eukaryota; Fungi; Ascomycota. The record is from RNAcentral.
CCUAGAGUUGUAGGCUUUGCCUGCUAUCUCUUACCUAUGUCUUUUAAGUACCUUUGUUUCCUUAGCAGGUCUGCCUGCUAAUUAGACAAUUUAAACUAUUUGCAGUUGUAAUUAGCGUCUAAAAAACUUAAUAGUUA